This 402-nucleotide ribosomal RNA is filed under the name uncultured bacterium. RNAcentral describes it as "bacterial SSU rRNA". It matches the Rfam family "Bacterial small subunit ribosomal RNA", at positions 355 to 774 of the family's 1533-position model. The record is from RNAcentral.
UGGGGAAUCUUGCACAAUGGGGGCAACCCUGAUGCAGCGACGCCGCGUGAGCGAUGAAGCCCUUCGGGGCGUAAAGCUCUUUCGACCGGAACGAUAAUGACGGUACCGGGAGAAGAAGCUGCGGCUAACUACGUGCCAGCAGCCGCGGUAAUACGUAGGCAGCAAGCGUUGUUCGGAGUUACUGGGCGUAAAGAGUGCGUAGGCGGUUUUCUAAGUUCGGUGUGAAAUCUCCCGGCUUAACUGGGAGGGUGCGCCGAAGACUGGGAAGCGGGAGUUUGGGAAAGGCAGGCGGAAUUCCUGGUGUAGCGGUGAAAUGCGUAGAUAUCAGGAGCAACACCGGCGGUGUAGACGGCUUGCUAGACCAUAACUGACGCUGAGGCACGAAAGCGUGGGUAGCAAACA